GUUCUUCCUAUAGAGCCGUGGUAGACCACCACGUUGAUAGGCUGGAUGUGGAAGCGCAGUAAUGCGUGUAGCUGACCAGUACUAAUAGCUCGAUUGGCUUGAUUAAUGC
RNAcentral lists this ribosomal RNA (109 nucleotides) under Candidatus Pelagibacter sp. Its description in RNAcentral is "partial 23S ribosomal RNA". It matches the Rfam family "Bacterial large subunit ribosomal RNA", at positions 2819 to 2925 of the family's 2925-position model. Lineage: Bacteria; Pseudomonadati; Pseudomonadota; Alphaproteobacteria; Candidatus Pelagibacterales; Candidatus Pelagibacteraceae. The record is from RNAcentral.